This 19311-nucleotide long non-coding RNA is filed under the name Musa acuminata (dwarf banana). RNAcentral's name for it is "long non-coding RNA (MACU_LNC008777)". Lineage: Eukaryota; Viridiplantae; Streptophyta; Magnoliopsida; Zingiberales; Musaceae. The record is from RNAcentral.
AGCAGCUUUCUAAUCAGCUGUGUCAAGCGAGCGUCUCGUCUAUACGAGGGUUUCCUUGUUUAGAUUUCCUGGAGAAAAAGCCGAUGCAAACGACCGUAAUGAUCCCUACGAGGUUAGCAGCAGUAUAUAGGAGCCUUUAGGUCCAGGCGAGUUCCGCAGUUGCCCUGUCUAUGUAAACCCUUCUUCAGAGCCUGCACCCCCAUCUACUCAAAGGAAAGAAAAGCAGUUAUAUAAGUCAAGUCAGUAAGAUAAGGAAAGCGCGCAGCCUUCCGCCUCUAAGUCUACACCCUUUAUACCUUCCUUAGGUUUCCGUUUUCGUUUCAGUGUGGGGCGAGUUUCUUUCGAUGCAGUUCUAGGAUUACUCUAAUCGGCAGCUUUGGAAUAAUACGCUUCACCCAUAUAUUGGAAUAAUACGCUUCACCUAUAUAGAAUGGAGGGACUAUGCUUUCUGCCCCUAUGGAAUAUGCUUGAUUCUCUUACCCUAUCUAACUUCUUCUUAAUAGUUGGAAUAAGGUGAGUGCUGGCCCAGUCUUCUCUAAUCUCCUUAUCGAGCUACCGAUCUUACAGCGCUUUAUUGACUAUAAUCCCUUCGAUCUCAAGGCUAGGUAAAUUAUUAAGGUUCAUUUUCAAGCAGAAGUAUGGAAAUGGGGCAAGCAAAUAAGCAAGCGGUGGGAUCUUUCAGACAAGGUAAAGGUCUAGAGCAGGCCAGAAGGCGGGACUAUUUCUUUUUCUUUCCUCAAAGGAGAAAGGGCUAGAUUCAUUUGAAGCCGGUUCACAGGUCCAUCCAAUUUCCUUAAAAGCUAGUCAGUGAGAAAGGGAAUAAACAUGGUGAAGCGAAGAGGGUUAGAAUGAAUACUAUACUUCUCCUAGGCGGGUUUCAUGAUGGAUGACUCCGGGGCUUAGAUUGCUCACAGGAUCAAAGCACUUUCUUGAUCACUGUCUUGCUCACUUAACCUUAUUUCUAACACUUACACAAAGGCUUGACAAGGUAUGGAAGAGAUAGAGGAGAGAAAACGGAACUAAGGGAUAUAGAAUGACAGGCAGUAGAAUGACAGGCGGAACGAAUCCAAGGGCUAGUCUCAAACUCUGAUAAGCCCAGGUGAGAAACUCCCUCUUACUACUGUAUGUUCAUAAAUCCUAGGCAAAAGCCCCUGUCUCUGUAACAACCAAUAGUCAAUUGAGCCACGGGAAUAAGCUUGAGUACGGAACUUAGAGCUACGAGAAUAAGCUUGAGUAAAGCUGUACUGUGAACUUAGCUACGGGAAUAAGCUUGAGUAAAGCUGUACUAAACUUAGCUACGGGCUUCUCCCUUACUUCUUCUUAUAUGGGAGCUUGCAUUGAUGCCAUCUUUAUUAGCGCCGGAUCUCUGGGCCGUAAUACUUUGAUAAUAGCCCUUCUUCCUUGCUUUCAACUAAGAUAAUAGCCCUUCUUCCUUGCUUUCAAAAAGGGGGAAGUUCUCUGCGCGUUCAUUCUCUUUCAUGUCGGAAAUCCUCUUUGAUUCUAAAGAUAGACAUUUCCAUAAAAGGCAUUUCGUCAGUCAUAUGAUUGUGAAACUUCUAAAAUAGGAGCUUAUUUGAGAACAGCUGAUUAUAAUGUCAAAAGGAACCUCCUUUUCUGAAAACAAACCGGGCAUACCUCUAAACUUACCUUCCCGCUUCAUCUCUUGAUUCUUAUCCAGCUGUAGAUCUCGUUGUUGCCAAGACAGAUGAAACUCAUUCACUUGCGCCAACAAAGCUAGAUGAACCUUCCACUUAUUAUUCUAUCGAUAAAGCUUCUUCUCGAGCUACUGGGCUACAAACUGCGCAUUCAGAGACUUAAACACUGACACUUAUACUUUACUGGGACUUUUCAUUCUCUAACCACUGCAUCGGUUCUCUGCUUUACUGACUUUUAGUCUGACUUGACUUUCUCUUGGCCUGGUCUGCCGCUUCCCGAUUCGGAUUCUAUUUUUAGGGGUACCUGGCUCAUAACUGAACUAACCAGUAUAAGUAUGAGAAUGAAGAGCUGACCCUCCACGCCUAUGUUCACCUUUCGCUCUGCCUAUCCUGUCUUAAAGCCUAUCGUUCCUGUCUCUCGUUCUGCUACCACGUCUAUGAAGCCUAUCUCUACUAGCUAUGAAACGAAAACUCUAGUUUCUCACUCCUUAGAGCUACAGCUUUGGAUCCACCAAACAACUACGAUGAAAAGAAAUUCAAAGAAAAGGGAAUUAACUAACCAAUAAGGGGAAUGGAGUGACUGACUAUAAGAGUAAAACAAAGAAAUAGGACUUAUCCUACCGGGCUGACUAUCCAUACUUGGAUUCUGGAAUUACAAAUAAGGGUCCUCGCUCUACAGCCUAAGAACCUUGCUCCACUGGCUUUGAUUCUUCUACUAAUACUCAGGUCUAUGAGCCUUGCUUUACUGCUUUGAAACCUAUAUCUCUUUGCUUGAAACCCACCUCUCCGCCUACCUCAUCCGUAUAUCUCUUCUAGCUAUCAAACAACUAACCCUUACUUUGAGUCUGAAUUACCUGUCAAAGAUUCAUAUUCCUCUAUUCCUAACUCCCUCCUAAGGAAGGGCAACGGGAUCCAACCCAAAAGUCAGAGAAUGGAACCAUCACGGGAAAGAAUAGAACCCGGGCGCCUAAGUCUCCCCCUCCUUGGUUGAAACCUAAGACUUAUUACUUUUCUUAUUUCACUCUGGUGAUCCAUUAUUUCACUGGUGAUCCGGGUCUUGGCCUUAUUGGCUGUAAGGCGGACUUGACUACCUUUGUUUUCAUUCUACUACUCUAUACUUGAGAACUUGCUUCCACAGAUAAGUAUACCGAUCCCCUAGAGCAAAGCCUGUCCGGACUCUAUCCUAAACUUAUACUGCUACCAAUAAGACUUGAGCUAAGAAGUGGGAAUCCGACCCAUCAGUCUGGGAAUUGAAACUCCUAAGUAGAAUCAAACUCAUAAGAAUAAUAAUUAGGGUACGCAUCUAGGAUAAGAGGAAGAGAAAAAACUCAGACUGAAGAGAAUCAAACUAAGCAGUAUAAGCAUCAAACUGGUAGAGCCUUGCACCCGAGAGCCCACACUCUUUCUCUUGAACCAGAUCCUUCCCUUGCUUUACUGACAUCAAAGCUGCCCUGACUUUCUUGGCCUGUCAUACUUGGGGGUAUUGAUCGAUACUCACUUGCCCCGGGCUAGCUCUGAAACUACCAACCAUUAGACUUUGACUGCAGUUUCUAAUACUUAAUUAACUUGCCGGAAAGAGUGGAGCUGCUGACAAACAGACUCGAACUACGGAUUCGGAUACUGACUUGCCACGAGCUAACUCCUCCGCGACUAACUAGUAGAAUGGAACCUUGAGCCAAUAUGACUUGAGCUACUGGAAAACAGGCUUACUUUACUGCAAUCAAUACCCUAACUAACAACGGGGAAUGCUGCUAUUACUAUCGGAAUUGAACCCAUGCUAGAAAGGGCCAAGUAGGCAAGGAAGCUCUUGUUCUUUUCCGUAGUCAACUAAUUACAUUCCAUUCCAGGAGUUCUAUUCCCCCAGCUUCCUCACCUCAUAGCUCAAUUCUUAUGAGUCAUAACCUUACUUGAUCACUGGAACAGGGCAUAGCAGCUUUCACACACUCCCCGCUCGGACCUUAUCCAAUCCUAGCUACCAAUCGCCCCUGCCGCUGAGAUUAGGACUUGCUCAUAAUGCAUUAGAACCAUUUAUGACUUGUUAUGUGUUUGGGGCAUCCACUUACGAAUUAACUCGGGAAAACAUAAUUGGUUAAAGCCUUAUUGCCUCCUGGCUAGCUACCUCUGGCAACUAGAAUACCUGGCUCAUUACAGCUGCUGGGAACUAACAUACCUGGCUCAUUCUUCUGGUUCAAACUAUGUUGCUUGGCCCUUUCCGCUUCUCCUAUUUCGGAGUAUAUCGGUAAAGAUCCUCCUCUAAUACGAAUGUGUAAUCGCUGUAUCUUAUGGAGAGGGAAAGAUUGAGCUGUAUCUUAGAAUAGAACAACCAACCAGAACAGCACCGGAAGGGCCAUCUCCCUAGCAACUAUUGAAAGGCCUUCAGAACAUCCUCAUCAUAACACUUUCCGUUAUUUAAUAAGGUACCGAAGCAUUUAUUUGGUAGAAGGAAGCUUCGAUAAAGAUUAUGUAUUUCGCUUUAGCAGCUAGGAGUUGUUUUCGAAACCAAGCCAUACCCUACCUAUCCAUGAAAGAAAGACUACAUAGACUAAUGGGCAGCUUCGAAAGCAUCAACUACUGGAAAGAUUGCAACGAGGUAAACUAAACUAACGGAAAGGGUACAUGCCUCUUACUAGAAAAUCCAGUCAAGGCUCCGGGGAUAGUCCGAUACCUCAACAAAAUGGGAAUGAUUAAUGGAAAGUAACGUGGGAAGACUUGGAUUUCUUAACUCAAAAAGGCAAAGGAAUUCCUCCACUAAUCGAUACGGAAAUGCUUCCACACCCACAAUCGAUACAAUACUGACAAGACUCAAAAGAGAUAAGGAGUCAACUGCUGCCCUUAUUUAUAGGCUUAAAGGAAGGCUGGAAGCUACGCUCCGCGGUGUAGGCUUCAUAACUGUUGCAGCGGCUUAUGAUUGGAAUAGGAUCUUUGAGCGAGCAACGUCCGAUUCUCCAGAAAAGACGGACUGCCACGAAGGCACUUACAAGAAGAAAGAGGCCUUAGAUCGCCCCUGCACCAUCAAUUAUGAGGAACCGCCCAUCAAUCAAGGAAGAAAUCCAGAAAGAAGUAAGCUUACGGGGCUAGUACUUUUUCUAAGUCGCCUAGUAAAGGAUAAAGGCAAUUCGCCUUAACAAAAGCAAUAAAGGGGAAGAGUCAAACAAAGGAAGUCCCAUUCCCUCCUUCUUCUUGCUAAUCGAUGAUAGAUAGGAGAUCAGGUUAGCCCUACCUUUUUGGAUCCCUAACCCUAAUCCAGUCUCUUAGUAGUAGGCCGGGAAAGUCAAGAAGUAGGCAUCGUACCAAUGGGAUUGAGACUGCGCUCUUUACCUUUCUCGGUUCGGGUGCAUGCACAUAUACGCUCUCUCAAAGCAUUUCUUUCUUCCUAUAGAAACACAAGUAGCAGAAAUCUCCCUAUGGUUUUAUGGAAUUCCAGAAAGCACUUUGCAACCCUCGAUCCAUUACUAAAAACCAUAUAUUACUAAAAACCAUAUACUAACCUUAUUCCAAUCAAAAGUGAUUCUUUUGUGAAACUCGUUGGCUCUUUUCGUAUAAGUUUCGAAAAAGAAGUUCUCCUAUUCGCUGCCGGAUUGAAAUGGGGAAGGGCCCAUGCUUUGAUUUUUCGAUGAGAAAUCCAUUCCAUUCUCUGCAUACUGCAAUAGAUUCCUUCCUGAAAGCUUUGGUAAGUGGAUGUAUAAUGAAUUCAUUCCUGUUUCCUUCAAGAGCAAUCAUAAGACUCUUCAUAUCAUGGCCUUUAGGAAAAGAGUCCGUCCCCGAUCUCAUUUGUGGAUAAAAGAAUAGACCCUCGUCAUUAGGGCUAGAGUUCAGUAAAGCUAUGCUCAUCUUUAUUCCGGCUCAUAUGUUGAAGCGUAGACAAGUCUUUCUCAAGGCUUAAACAUACUUGCUUGCUUGUCGCGAAGUCUGUUGGUUCUACGCCAGAAACCCAUUUGGAUUUCUUUGCAUACACUCGAUCAGUAGGCCCGCACCGUGGCGUGGUCUAUGUCUACUAAUCCAAAUUACCCCUUGAGUCUCGCCAUUUGCUUUUAUAUAGGAAGGUAUCCAAGACCUAGUACAAGCUAUCCAUCCUAUUUCAAUAAAUUGACAACAUCCUGGGAUGGAUUAGUUUUGACCCUUGCUCGUAUUCACCGUUUCAAACAACUGAGCAAGAGGGAUGUCGGCGGGGACCGCCCUUCUUUUUCCGCCUUACCCACCAUGUUCACUAUUACAUCGGAUACAUCGGAAACCUUCCAAUCAGAAGAAAAACUUCCUCUUUGGCUUUGAAGCUACAGCUACCACUUGGAAUCAAAAGCGGAAACAACGCGACGUUGCUAUUAGCUUAUUUAUUGACUUCACUUGAGGCAUAGGCGGGAUAGGGCUUUGCUUUAGCAUAGGGCUCACAAAUGCGACUGGUUCAGGUCAACUAUGAUGGUGGAUACAGGUAAAUGUGCAAAUUGCUAGGCACUAGGUAUACCCUAUGACAUUUCAUUGGCUUUUGAUAUGCAUAGCUAUCUCUCGUUGUGAGUCUCGGUCGGCUUCAGGCUCUCUCUCUUUUCUACUUUGACUCCCAGCCGUGUUCCAGGCGCCUGGAUUCCUCCGUCAGGUAGGCUUUCCGCAUUCUUCAAUAUUGCGAGGGUCUUCCCUAGUUUCCUUCGAUUUAUAAGCUUGGUCUUUGUCAUAACGGAAUCUCGGGUCUGGAGAACGAGGCAGACAACGACCUGAAAGAAAAUAGUAUCCAAUUCAAAAGAUGAUCUUGUAGGCAAGGAUACAGAUCCAAAUCCCUGUGGGGCAGAUUGAUUCUGGAAAUAUAUUGAACCAGCACAAGGUAUACAAUUCAUAACUAACACACACUAAAUAAUGUAUAUUCUACCCCCUGGCAAUUAAUGGAAUUGACUGGCCCCCCACUGGACAAGUAAAGGAGGGACAUUUGACUCCCUAGGCGUCGAAGACAUCUCAGUAAAGUACGAAUUAGCGGGGCCAAGCCUCAUCACUCAAACGAAACUAUUGGAGAAUGGAGUUACGGCCGGUGUCCAAUGCAGGGAACCAUUCCUAGCCCGGUAGAGGCAGGGCUUUCAUAGCGUUGUUCGACCGACCACGAAAGCAAGAGUCAAGAGUCGGCAAAAGUUCACCACAGAAAACAUAGUUCAAAUAGCAAGCAAACCAGAGAAAGCAUUUGAGAGUUAUUGCCUCUAUGAAAGUGAAGAAGAAAUGCACUCGAUUCCUAUUCUUUUGAAACCUCAGCUCGGGUCACGGAACUCUCUGCUCUUGGCUACGAAACUAGGCUUUGAUCUGAAUCGAUAAAGAAAUGGUUUAAUGGGUUAGUCAAUGUCGGCCUAUGCAAUGGUACACGAGUACCGAUAGUUCGAAAGACAGAACUCUUUUAUCUAAACAUAUAUAAGCGGCCUCCCUCUUAUAUACGAUACCACAGCUGCCGCUUCCUUUGCAAUUGGGGUGGGGAUCCUUGGAAGAUUGAUUCCACCAUACCAGAAAACGAAACUGCUUCCACUUGAGCCAUUCUACUUUGAACAGAAACCAUUCGUUCAGAGUCGAGAAGAGUUAUCAUCUUAUCUGUAAGAAACAGCAGGAGAUAAGAAAGAGAACAAACAGGAUUCUUUCCAAGUUCAAAGAGACAGAUCACUCCUAGCUUGGGCCGACAAGACAUCCAAUCCAAAGAAAUCGAGAGAGACUAAUUGAAACUUUAUUGAACUCAAAGAAGAAAGAAAGAAAGACCCUAGCUAGAUGACCAAAGAAAUCCCAUGAAAUCGACUCCUAAUGCCCAACCCACCAAGACCGCUUAUGUAAACCUAAACUAAGUAAAGGCUUUUGAUUGAAGAAAUGCCUUAGCUAAUAAAGAAGGGGGAGGCAUCUUGAUUCGGCUUAUUCCACUGCUGCCGGCAAUCUUAGAAUGAAUGGGAUCCUUCCGCUUCCGUUCCUUAGCGACGUAACCCGAUCUCCAGACGACUGUAAGAUCCGCUAUCGCUUCGCCUGCUCUAUUUCUCAUCGUAUUCUUUAGAGUAUUAAGUAUUGCUUGCCUUCCCUUACUUCUUAUCUUAGUAAUCCAAAUAAGGGGUCGGAUAGUCGGUUGCUGCCUUACCGUUGUUAGGUUCGAAUCGGGUAGCUGAGCUCUCUUCUGAUUAUAUGAAGUCAGUAGCGGGUUUAUAUAAUUGCUUAACUGUGUGUGUAAUGUCGACGCCCUAAUACCCCAAAAGAAGAAACAGGUCAAUGCAAUGGGAUAGGAAGAAAGGGAGCGAAGUGACUACUGCAUAAACAGCCUAUUGGACAAGACAAGGAAGAAGGAUCAGGGGGAUUCCAAAUGCAAAGCCAAACGCCGCCCGAUGCCGGUGAGUCAGGUAGGGUCGAGUAAAUUCAUUCAACAAUUCCAUGAGCGGGAGCGGACCUUUCUUUAAGGGAAGGCUAAUAUCUAGGCUAAUAUUAUUGAACCUGAACCCUAUAGCAAUCAACGCACCUUUGGUUUUGUCAACACUGAGAAGCGAAGAGAAGUUUGGCACAGAAAAAGCCAUGCUCUGCUAAAGGGAAUCGGUGGGGCAUUGCUUUCUUUAACUAGUUCACUAUAAAUCAGAUAGAAUAGAAGGCUAAACAACUUCCUAAAAAGGGCUCCUUCGGGCGGGCAUUAACACGGAUCUAACGACUAUUGGCCGAUCUCAUUCUCAUGCACGUGGAUAUCUUUACCUAUGGAUCUUCCCUUUCCUUUAGGACAGCCAGAAGGGCGGAGCUCUAUGUUCUAUUGAAAGCAAGCUGUCCUAUCUGUCUAUUAGUUAAAGCUGUGAUGUGGCAUUUCUUCAACAGCAACUUCACAUGCACAAACGGACCACUCAGCACUUCUAGGAGUCACCCCUUUGCUUUAGUGUACCGUCGGAUUGUGAAGGUGUUUAGUAAUCGGAUGCUCUCGAGGAAGAUGAAUUAGAUGAGCAUAAUUUCUCUCAGUAACUGCUUGGGGGCAAAGUGUUUUUUUGUGGCUUUCAUGAAGAUGAGACAAAGCUUGCUGUAUAUAUAUUCCAUUCACUCUUUGAGAUGUGAGGUGCCGGAGUAACCUUGUAAGAUAAGGAUAUUGAUAUAGGCCGAGAGAAGAAGAUCAGAUGGUUCAGCUAUCUCUUCUCCCUAUCCCUAUGAUAGUUGACUAUGCGAAGCUAGUAAUACAGUUCCAUUCGGGGCCAACCACCUGUCUUUGGCCGACUCACUCCGGGAUAGAACACAUUUGAAACCAGUGUCUCUGAAACGAUUUGGAUUGACAAAAAAGGACAUGUCCUGCCGACGAAAGAAAAAGAUGUGAGAAGGGCCCUUACUGUCCAUGUUUAUAAAAAGCAUUCGUAUUUUAGUUGUAGGAUCUUUUACUGCCUUGUGAAAUCCUCUAUUCAUGAGGAAGAAAGAGGUAUAUUUCAGAAAGUAGACUAUAUCCAUCCUAGGGGCUGUCACUCAUUCAUUCCUUAUCGAAUCCAUAAUAUCACUUAUAUAAAGCUUGAAGCAAGUGGCAAUGUAUUGAAGUUAAGGUUCUUUAAAAGAGAGAGUGGUUCAGGCGUGCUUAAGGCAUAGGCGAUCUUCAUCAACCCGACGUAAUGUACUCACUAAUUUCAUGAAAAAGAUCGGUCGUUCUAAAUGUAAGCUUAUUUUCGAAAAGUGAAAGGGCAUUCCUUGAGAGAAAGUCCCCCAUCCACUUCUUGAACAAGCCCAUAUAACGAGCCUAGCUGUAGCAGCCCUUAUUGCGACAGAGAGAGAAAACAACAAACAAGGAAAUAAGAAAUGACUGGCCAAUCUCGUGCCCUGUAAGAAGGAAGGCUCUCAGUCCCAGGUAAAGAUCUUUUCAGGCUUGAGGAAUCCGGAAAGUCAGGUUAUCAAUCAGCAUGCUAUUUGAAAGUAAGUCCCUCGUUUAAAUAAAGUGGAGAUUGUAAGGCUACCCUAAGAUACCCACCCACCGAAACCGAAGCGGAUCUUGGGCCCUCGGGGGAAGGGGUAGGCUAUUCACAUUAGUCAAGCACUUAUAGCAUUAAGCACUUAUAGCAUUAAGUGUAUAAUGGAAUAUAUGUAUAAGAUAAGAGAGACAGAUUUCAAGGGAAGGAAAGGAGUUUUGGAUUGCUCGCAGCUAGCAGCUGACGCUGCCCUUGCUUUUUAUUGCUCACAGGAUAGAUUCCAUUGGCCUGUGCCUCACUCGAGGGAUUCCAUUUGAUGCUUUCAAUGGACGAAAGAGAAACCCCUAAAUCACCCUAUAGUAAAUAUAUCUAAAGAACCGGCCCGGCACACCUAAGAUUCCGGAGUCAAUAGCUUAUAACAUAUCCCUUCUUUCAAGAGUGCCUGUGGAAGUUGUCGUUGCUUUUUAGCAUCCAGUGAGGAAGGAAGUGGAAUACUUGCAAGUGUGAAGGCUAUUCAAAUAGACAAGCUUUAUCUCCUAUUCGAUAGCUCUCGGAGUAUCUCGCAAGCUAUCCGAAAAAAGAGAAAAAGCAGCUAAUCUUUCAAAGGAUAGAAAGUCAUUGUAGCUAAUCUUUCAAAGGAUAGAAAGUCAUUGUCGGAUGUCUUUGAAGAAAGCACAGCCCUUGGAAUCCAUCUGAGGAAGCUCUUGUCUUGCUGCGGAAAAUGACCUAGUGCUUAGCUAGUGGUUAGGCAGUAGAGUUGGCCGGGCAAAGCAACUACUAUUAGUUUCAGUUUCAAGAUAAGGAGAAAGAGAAUCCGAUAGAUCAGAGGUUGUGUGAGCUCCCGACGAAUAAAGAACUUUGGAAGUAUAUUGACAAGCUUAUAUAACAAGUGCUAAACCAAGGCUAUGGCAACUCAUAAGGUUAUUGCUCAGCCAAGUAACGACUAGACAAAGACACUCUAGACAAAGAAUGCAACUCAAACAUUGGAAUUAGUGGUAGGGGUGUAAUAGAAGAUGUCACUAGCCUCUCCAUGGGUUCUAAAGUCGGAAAGUGAGAAUUCCAUUCAUAAGUCUGAGUUUACCCCCCUCUCGCCAACACUACGUUGCUUGUCUAUCCGCUUGUUGGUGUCUUAAUAGGGAUAGGGGAUUUUUCUGUUAGCAUAGUGAAACCUCUGUUCCAAUGUGUUUUUUCUUGAUAACAUAGCCCAGCAGAGAGAGUAGUCGACUUUCCGCGGGCAGCUGCAUAAACAUUAUUUCCGGAUACUCCUGCCUUUCGCCUCGCACUAGGAUGAAACAAAAACUCUACUUUUAGAACAGUUGACUUGCGCCUUAAUCGAUUAACAGCUGGUUCUCAAACUGCGGAUUCUUUCUAUGACAAAUAAGGUAAAGCCAAUCAAUCACCUCUAUCUUAGACACAGUGAUGAAGUGAAGAAGCACAAACAAACUAUAAGGCAAAGGCAAGAAGGAAGAAGGCGGAUUUCCAAGUCAAAGCAAUCUGAAUCAGACAAUUAUCAUCGACAAACAGAUUCCACUAGGGAUGAAACUGGGCCAAGCAAUUAGGCAAGGAGCUUGUCUAUAAGUGCAAGCUACGUAUAAUAUGGUUAGUUACGCCAUCUAGUGAAACCAUCUUCUAUAUCCAUAAUACUAGUAUAGUCGUUUGGUUACUCAUCCCGGCGCUUGGUCAUUAGUAGUUGUUGGGUUACAGACCUGAGCCUAGUAAUGGUCCCUGGCUUUCUCCUUUGCAUUCAAAACAACAACUCCACCAGUAGCUUGUUCCGAGUCAACCACUCCCUUACAAGCAAGUAGACCAGUCAUUUCACUUGCUUGCUAUGAAGCAUAAGAUCAGAGAACUCCUCACGCGUAACCAAGCAAACUAGCAACGGAAGAAGAUAAUACCAACCGUAGCUACGACUUCUGGAACUCUACUUGAACAGAUGCAACUCUUUCUUCUCAAGUGGAGGAAGGCAGAAUGAACUCUUCCUUAUCUCGAGUCUAAAACAGAUGAAACUGUAAGCAGCAGCUGAUGAUCAAUAGGAAUAAGUUGCAUCUUUUUGUGGAACAAAUCAUUCUUAACCGGAAACAGCUACUCUACGCGUGCUUUCCUCUUCUGCAAUCACUCCACUUUCCUUUCGAACGGAUUCCUAAUACUCAACAAGUGACAGAACAAAUAGACUUUACUGCAGCAUUCCAUUUCAAAUUGACUCUAUCUCUUCUCUUACCCGCGCAUUCCAAAAUGGAUUCCUCUUAUUAAGACGAUUCAAGUAGAACAGUCCAUUCUCUAAGUAGUGAAGUCAGUCCUAUUGUAUUUCUCCCUAUGUUUCUCCCCUUUUGAUUAAGUAAGAAAAUCCGCAUAUAUCUCCAGUCCUAGCGUAAGGGAGUGCCCUUAUUUUCUGGUAAGCUGCCAUUGUGUGCUGCGUAUUUGGUUUCUCUCUAGUUCCUGUGGGAGCUACCUGUCAUCGAGUGCUAGUUCCGAGUCAUGCACUUCUUUUGAGUUAGAUAUCCCCAUUUCUAUCAAAAAGGAAAGCACUAUCCUAACCUAGAAUAUGAUAUUCUAUAUUGCAAGUAAAUAAAAGGAAAUAAUACAACAACUAGACAUUUCUAUUGGAAAAGAGCAUAUUCUAAGAAUCCUCCAAACCACCUUAAGGCCGCUCACAUUCCAUUCCUUCUAGGCGUGGUGUAAGGACGGGGGUACCCUCGAUUUAAGCCUGUUUCCGUGCCCAAUUAGAUCAUAUUUCCGAUUUCCAGGCAAUAGUUUCUAGUUAUAGCUAAGUGCUUCCAGCGCGAUCCACAGCCUAGGGAAUAAGCCCCGAGGUCAUCUUUAGAGGUCCCUCUUGAUUAUUGCCUUUGCUUAUCCAAGUAAUCCAGCCGAGCCAGUGUGAGCGCCUCCUCAGGAAGUUUCAGAAUAUGUCUUAUCGAGGACCGGUCCUAAGCAGGUAUGAAUACAUCUUUCCUUUGUUGUAGGGCCGGCUUGAAUAUGGCUCCGUACUAUACUCUCUAUAUAGCGUGUAUAAGGCCCGCUUGUCUAAGGCCAGCAUAUAUAGCCUUUAGUUCUCGGCUGGAAGUUCUCUAUUACUGUAGUUUUUUGAGUUUGAAAGCCUUUCGCACAAGCAAGUGGUGAUAACAAACCCUAAAUGCGAAAAAGGGCUUACCAAAAUAGAAGUAUGGCAUAGGCAUACUUUCUUUUAUACAGUCGAGCAUAAGUUUGCUGUCCAGUUAUUAAGCAUUAUCCGAGUUUAGGAAGUACUACAUAAAGCUCUCCUCUGCCUGAGUUAAGGAAGUACUACUACUACAUAAAGCUCUCCUCUGCAGGCCAAAAGCCGUUUGAUUUCUAUCAGAUCAGGUCCUUACCUUGCCCUUCCAGUUUCCGUGGCAGUUGUUAGCCAAUGUUCAAUCCUCAGUAUGUACGUCCAUGGAAUUUCAAAGGAGGCUCACUAUCCAAAAGGCUAUUAGGGCAACUAUUUCUCCCCAAAAUACAAUAUCUUCCCGCUUUCCCGUCACGCUAUAUAUUCCUUUGCAUUGUAUAUCACGAGUGUUAGUUUCCACUAGCUUAGGAUGGUUUCUUAUGCUAUAAAGAUGGAGAUAGAUUGAUUGAGGAGAUUCAAAGGGAGAAACUGCUUAUAUUCCUCAAAUCUUAUAUAGAGAGAACAAAGAGCAUAUAUUCCGAUAGUAGGUGUACCGUGAGUGGAAGGGCUAUAAUUCUUCAAUAACCCCGAGCUCAGUUCUAGGGUGGCAAUGUGGUUUUUCCAGAGGUGGUAGAGGCGGGCCAACGGAGGUCUUUCAGUUCUACCUAUCGCAUGCAGCCACGCAUCCGAGUCCAUUUAAUGAAAUAAGCUACCAGUGUCACCAGUGUAAUAACCAAUUCAUUAGUCUUAACCGGUGAAGAAGGAAGAAUGGACAAGUUUGUUUUGCAUUUCUUUCCGAGACCUUAACAAGGCUUGCAAAAAAGAGCACUUUUCACUGCCACCCCACAUUGAAAUCCUCGUGUAGAAAAACGCUGGCUACGAGAUGUUAUCAUUCAUAGACGCUUUUCUCCGGCCAGAUUAAGCUCGCUAAAGAAGAGCAAGAGAAGACAUCAUUCACUACACCCUGGGGAACCUACUGCUAUGUUGUCAUGCCAUUCGGACUUCCAAAUGCUGGAGCCACAUAUCGAAGGGCCGGCCAUCUUUCCAUGAUAUGAUACACGACUGUAUGGGAGUAUACGUUGAAAUCCCGGGAAGCUAACCUUCGUCUAGUCCUCGAAAGAGCCCUAAAAUGGAAGCUCAAUCAGAAUCCAAAGAAAUGCUCGGUCUAUCUGCCGGAAUGCUCCUCGGCUUUAGUGGCUUGAUCAUAUAGGAUUUUACUCAAUCAAAGGAAUUGUUAGCAAACGAGGGCAUUAAGCGUGGAUCCGUCCAAGGUGCGUGCUAUACUCCAGAUGUCUACGCCAAAUAAUAUCAAAGAACAGCGAGGUCUCAUUGGAUUGACCUACUUCAAUCAAUUCAAAGAAAGAGAAAUAGGCUCAUUGACAGCUAGCCGCGGACCGACUAGAGGAAAUCCUACUAAGCACACUGGUGAAAUGAUGUAUCUUAAAUCAGAAAUCUGCAGGAAGAGCAGCAGUUAGUAGUUAGCGCGAAGGAGCUCUUUCGCUGAAUCAUCAUCGGUUCUAUAUCUUUUACCUUAUUCCAAAGGUCCUUUUCUAGAGGGGCGAAGACCACUUCCCCAUUUGAAGAGAAAGGCUACUAGUACGCUCUUUGAAGGAAAGAAAAUAAUGCGCUGGUAGGACAACACUCUAGUGGGAAAAUAGACAAGACAGUCAAUCCAUUCUUGAAAGAAGGGCUUGUUUGCUACGUGAAAUGACAUAGGUUUCCAUCUUAUUCAGAUGCUCAAUUACCGGUCUUUACAGUAUUGCUAAGAGUUUGCUUGCACUGGAUUGGCAGGCGACGACAUCUAUGGAAUUAACGUUAACGGCCAAGGAUAGGAUUUUCGGAAGAAAGCUGUCCAAUUGGAUAAGGGACAUAGCUAAGGAAAAGAAAAGAUCCAACUCAUCGAAAGAUGCCCCGAAGGAACUGCAAGAGAUGAGACAGUUGCUUUCACUAAAGGACCGAACGUUAUAGCCAUAAUCUGAGGUAGGGCCUUUAUUACAGUGGGAAAGAUGCAUCGAAAGUAUAGGCCUUCCUUCUUCCUUUCUUUAGUUUGGACAAAGGGUCUCUUCUCUUUACUGUUGAUGCGGCAUAAAGGCAGUUAGGAAUCGAUCUAUAUGCCAAGAAUAAGACAAGGAACUGACAACGCUAAGUAAGAGCCGGGAUAAAGAUAGGCCGUAUCCAGGAAUGGCGGGAUGCCUAAUGUCUUAGAUAAGGCACGGAACUAAUAGCAAUGGAAUCAUAAUCUUGAGUAAGGACAAAUCCGGCUAAAACAUAAUUGAUGUGAAACAGGGGCUUUGACUUUCAUGAACCAAUAGACUAUAUCCUGCCAUAUAAAUACACUCUCGAGCUAUGUUAGGACUGAAAGGGAUAGCUACGUUCUUAAGUUAGAUAGAUUGUUUGAUAACUCAGAAGAACUCAUAGACUAUAAAUCACUUAAAGUCUUAGAAGAGUUAUUAAGUUAGACAGAGAGAUCACUCUUUCUCUAUAAUAAGCUUUCAGGACAAUGAGAGACAGAGAGUGAGAAUUGUGACUCCAAAGAGGGAUUUAUUAACCUUUACGUGAUCGGUAAGACCUCCAUUCCAUUAUCACACUCCACUUCUUGUCCAGCUCUAGCAAUUCCAGUUGUUGGCGACUCGAAAGGUUCUUUUGUUGAAGUAUAAGGAGGUUCACUUGAUUGACUUUAAUCGUUUAUGGAAUCAGAGGUGUUGUAUCGUAUAGAAAAAAGGGUCAUUAUGGAAUCAGAGGUGUCACUCGCAAAGUCAAUAAAUGGAAUCGCGGUGCGACUUACCUUCUCAAGCACACAGAGACUCGUAGAUGACACUGACUUACCGCUUCUGAAGGACAGAAAGAGAGACCUGUUCCUAGAUGUACCCAAUUCUCUUAUGUACCCAAUUCUCUUAUUUAUUCUUUUUUUUGCACUCCUAUAUUCUUAAAGCAAUGGAACAAACAGACGAGCGACUCGGCGCCAAGUAACGGAUAGAAAAGUCACUACUACAAAGGCAAAGAGAGGAGACAAGCAACUAUGGCUGGGUAAGAGACGGAGUUAACGUUGUUAGCCUUGCAGGAUUCUGUUUCUUGAUCAGAUCCAUCACCUCAAAUCUAUGGUGAGUGCAACCAUCCCUUAUUAAGUAGGUAAGAGUCAAAGGUAACAUAAGAGGGCUUUCUCACUCAUGUUGUAUUAGGGUUGACUUUCGAGUGGCUUUAACUAAUUCCACAAAACAAAACAAAGGGCCACGCGUUACAGCAAUACCAUAGAGAAAGUGAGCUUAGAAAAGAUCCGAGUCCAAAAUAGCUUGGAUGUUUAAUGUAUUCAGUACGCCGGCAGGCAGAGCCUAAAACAAAGGAUCGUUUCGCUGGAAUGAUGAAUCUAGAUACUCCCAUGAAAAGGCUCUUAGGACUCUAAAACGAAUGAAGAAGUAAGAAGCGCCUGUGGUAGCAAGCAAGAAAUAGUUAGCGCCCCAUAUAUCAAUCUGAUAUUACCUCUUUCUCUAUCUGGUGAAGAGAGAAUAGAAGAGAAGAGAGUCUCAAUAGGGCACCCGUCGAGUCCAAAGCUCCAGCUCAAGCAGUUCAGUCCACAAAAAAGAGAAGUCUGCCAACUAGCUCAAGUAACAAGUGUAAAGUAGUGGAAAUCCAGUACCCAAAGGAAUAGGUAAUGCAAGAAUCAAGAGAAAAAGGGCCUUAGGGAGCAGUCAGGAUAGCAACUUUCUGGGUGGAAAAUGUGUAUACUUCAAAAGAUUAUUUGCUUUACCCGGAAGUCACAUAGUAUUCUACUCGUUUCGUAGCAUGAGAUCCUAUUGGCACGGAAGUGAAGAUUGAGAUCAGAAAUACCUCCUCUCUUCGCCAACUAUAAGCCCUUCAUGGACUAACCAUUUGUCCUCUGGAUUUGAGUGGCCUUCUACGGGAACGGAACUGACUAUGAACUUAGGUCUUGAUCCUCCCCGGAAAUGUUGUUCUAUCUGGAAGCAUCAGGGAGACGUGCAUCCUGUCUCUUACCUUACCCAUUUCCACCAACGAGUUAGAGAGUCGCUUUUCUAGAAGGAAAUCCUCUGAAUUCUAUGAUGAGCUCUUUUGAUCUCAGAAAGAGUAAAGCGUAUAAUUAUGGAAAUGAGGGCUUCUUUCCUAGCAUGCGGACAAUCUCAAGAGGGUGGUGAUGCCACUUAUACAACUACUAACACGGAGAUUAAGUGGGUCUAUUGUAUUUUCGGAAUCUCUACAUGGUGAGCUUUCUGAGCCACCCAAGCCAAUCAUCUUACGCGAUAAGAUUGAGAGGAUCCUUGCUAAAAGCUAUUCUUAUUCUGAUAGAUAGUUACUCAUCUCCAUACUUACUUAGAUAUGGAAGAGUUAUCUAGAUGACUUCGACUCAGAAGGCUAAGCUGCUACCCAAAACCUUCUUAUGAUUAAUUACUGACAGCUACAAGAUGAUCCAUAUAAUAUUAGAUUCAAGUUAUACUUCUUCAAGAGCAAAGCAUCUUAUACCGAGAAGCUAGUUCUGGCCCUGACAAGAAAAGAAGAAAGAAUAAGGAAGUGUCUACUUACUUAGUACUGAGUUAGCUUAUAUGAAAGAAGUCGAUGAACUCAUGCAAGCGCAAGGGCGAGCUACCAACUCUGGCUUUUGACUCACACACUUCUAGAAGUCAAAAAGGAAUGCGCUUCACCGGUUGAUCAUGUAUGGAACUAAACGAUCUUUGCUAUACCACGUGAGUACUACCCUGUCUUGUACUUUGUUCGACAGAAUGAAUUAAAGAAUUGCUUCCUGCGAGGGAAGGGUAUAAAAUCUCAGGGCCAACCCACUACUACAAAAGCACAGGUUGCCAGAGCGAACACUAGCUGCCCUGACGCGAAGUUGCAAGGAGGUGGAUGAGCAAGAGAAGAGGAGAGGCGUGUUGGUGCUGCCGAAUUACUAUAAGGUCCUGUUCUUGCCCUUAAGUAAAUUGCUGUAAGUACUGAGUUGUGCCGCGUAGGUCAGUUAUGAAAGUGGAGUUCAAUUGUCUAGGUUCGUAGCUAGGGAAAGAAAGAAAGAAAGGGCUGCCGAAAGAAAGGGCUGUGAACUGCUACCCACCUCCACGACGCAAAGGCUUAAACCCUUAAAGAGGAAGAGAGGAAGACCGCUUGCCAACAUAUAACUUCACUUAGCAAUUAGCAUGGUACUCUUUGUAUUUCUCUUAGCAUAUGCUCCCCAUCCAUACCUCGUAAUCCCUAUGUUUAGCUUAGCACAGGUCUUAUUCGAGACGGUUUUUUUGAUGUGUUCGGUUGGUAGGUAUCCCGGCUGAUUGAUGCUGGGGUAUGUUAUCUACAUUCAUCUUAUGCCUAGGUUCGAUUGAUGCUGGAGGUUAUGUUAUCUACAUUCAUCUUAUGCCUAGGUUCCGUUCUUAUAUCACCGUUAUUAAAAAGGCAUAAGUCUUCGUUGCACUAAGGCUUUAACCACUAACUUCGAAUUGAACAGUGCCUAUAGUGAAUCAAACAAAGAGCCCAAUGUCUAGCUAUAGGGCUUGGAUAGUCAAUAAAGAAUUGCGCCAAGCAGCAACAGAGCAAAUCCCUUUCCCGAACUCUCUCCUUCAGCUGCUCUUCCGCCACUCCGAACUCCGAGCCUUGCCCUACUUACCUGGGACCUUGCUUUGAAACCGACACCCAUUAGCAGCAUCGCCUAUCUGUUAUUUGAGUCCUGCACAGCUUUCUCUAUUCUCACUACCCAGUCUGCGACUACUUGAUCUAAGGUGUUUCUAAGCCUUGCUUCACUGUCUCCGAGCCUGCCGCUCCGACAUCUAAAUAUGUAUUUCACCCUUGACUCUGUCACUACUUCCCUAAAGUCUUUGACGCCGAGCUUAGGAUCUAGGAAAGGGAGAGCUCCGAUUCUGAUUAUGCCCUUACUUAACCUAGCAUUCCAGUCAAUGGAAACAAGAGGAUAAGAAGUCAGAGUGGGUUUACAAUCUAGUGCAUCAGAGCUCUAAGACUAAGGUAGUAUGAUCUAUUACAUUAUAAGACCCAUACCCAUAGUUGUAAGUAUAGAAUGCAACAAAGGCUAAGGAAUGAAACAAAGGUAUAUUAAUUCCACUUAUUCUCCUCGUCUACUGGCGCUUCUUCCCUACGGAAAUUCUGUCUACCAGACUCAAAAGCGUACUUAGGGAAUAGGUAGUGAACCCUAGAGACAGUAAACUCAGAAUGAAAGAAAGGUUAGUAAGAGGCGCGGUAGGGCAAAGCUCUAAGUAAAGGAUGCCAGGAACAAGUAUCAAAACUACAGUCAAUAAUUUCCGUUUUUGGGUUACGAGCUGAGGAGCUAGAGCCGUUAUCUAAGAAUCCGAGUCAGGGGUCUCCUGGGGUUAAGAGCUAGUAGCGGCAUAUUGAGAUAAGGCAUUGGAAGACCUUAAGUUAUUAGAUAUAGAAUAAGAUACAUGGAUUUCAGUUUGAUAUCAAAGAUAGAGGUAUACUAUGAGUUAGGCAGUAAGCAAGGGUUUAGGUCCAUAGUAGCAGACUAACAAUCGAGCUAUAGAGAAUGAAAGGCAGGGAACUUAGGCGGGUCGACAUCCAUAGAUAGGGAAUUGAACGACUACGAAUUCGAGUAAAACAAAGAGAUAGGGUCAAUGUAAUUGAGCUACUGAUACGGAUCUUUGCCUUACUUCACUCCAUUCUGACUGUGCUUUCUCUUACUCUUUGACUUAUUACUUGGAUUCUCCACUUUCAAACUAAAAAC